Myripristis murdjan (pinecone soldierfish) is the source of this 234-nucleotide long non-coding RNA. RefSeq lists it as uncharacterized. The record is from RefSeq and is a predicted model, not a curated record. The transcript is spliced from 3 exons. NCBI's taxonomy places the organism in Eukaryota, Metazoa, Chordata, Actinopteri, Holocentriformes, Holocentridae.
GGACCUGAGCCCAGCUGUGUGUCCAUGAAGAGUGACUGGUCUAUGGAUAAACCUACUGACUUUAAAGAAAGAGAUGCUUCUGAGAAUACGAUCCAGCAGGAGAGACCAGACUCCCCUGGACCCAGCUGUGUGUCCUUCAAGAGCGACUGGUCUAUGGAUGUACUUAUUGACUUCAAAGACUCACAGCCCUCUGCUGAUGAUGGAGUCCAGCAGCAGAGCUCAGAGGUUCCCAGU